RNAcentral lists this ribosomal RNA (115 nucleotides) under Proteus vulgaris. Lineage: Bacteria; Pseudomonadati; Pseudomonadota; Gammaproteobacteria; Enterobacterales; Morganellaceae. The record is from RNAcentral.
CUUGGCGGCCAUAGCGCAGCGACCCACCUGAAUCCAUGCCGAACUCAGAAGUGAAACGUUGUAGCGCCGAUGGUAGUGUGGGGUUUCCCCAUGUGAGAGUAGGGAACUGCCAGGC